RNAcentral lists this ribosomal RNA (1754 nucleotides) under Escherichia coli. Its description in RNAcentral is "partial 23S ribosomal RNA". It matches the Rfam family "Bacterial large subunit ribosomal RNA", at positions 418 to 2157 of the family's 2925-position model. The record is from RNAcentral. Lineage: Bacteria; Pseudomonadati; Pseudomonadota; Gammaproteobacteria; Enterobacterales; Enterobacteriaceae.
CGGGACACGUGGUAUCCUGUCUGAAUAUGGGGGGACCAUCCUCCAAGGCUAAAUACUCCUGACUGACCGAUAGUGAACCAGUACCGUGAGGGAAAGGCGAAAAGAACCCCGGCGAGGGGAGUGAAAAAGAACCUGAAACCGUGUACGUACAAGCAGUGGGAGCACGCUUAGGCGUGUGACUGCGUACCUUUUGUAUAAUGGGUCAGCGACUUAUAUUCUGUAGCAAGGUUAACCGAAUAGGGGAGCCGAAGGGAAACCGAGUCUUAACUGGGCGUUAAGUUGCAGGGUAUAGACCCGAAACCCGGUGAUCUAGCCAUGGGCAGGUUGAAGGUUGGGUAACACUAACUGGAGGACCGAACCGACUAAUGUUGAAAAAUUAGCGGAUGACUUGUGGCUGGGGGUGAAAGGCCAAUCAAACCGGGAGAUAGCUGGUUCUCCCCGAAAGCUAUUUAGGUAGCGCCUCGUGAAUUCAUCUCCGGGGGUAGAGCACUGUUUCGGCAAGGGGGUCAUCCCGACUUACCAACCCGAUGCAAACUGCGAAUACCGGAGAAUGUUAUCACGGGAGACACACGGCGGGUGCUAACGUCCGUCGUGAAGAGGGAAACAACCCAGACCGCCAGCUAAGGUCCCAAAGUCAUGGUUAAGUGGGAAACGAUGUGGGAAGGCCCAGACAGCCAGGAUGUUGGCUUAGAAGCAGCCAUCAUUUAAAGAAAGCGUAAUAGCUCACUGGUCGAGUCGGCCUGCGCGGAAGAUGUAACGGGGCUAAACCAUGCACCGAAGCUGCGGCAGCGACGCUUAUGCGUUGUUGGGUAGGGGAGCGUUCUGUAAGCCUGUGAAGGUGUGCUGUGAGGCAUGCUGGAGGUAUCAGAAGUGCGAAUGCUGACAUAAGUAACGAUAAAGCGGGUGAAAAGCCCGCUCGCCGGAAGACCAAGGGUUCCUGUCCAACGUUAAUCGGGGCAGGGUGAGUCGACCCCUAAGGCGAGGCCGAAAGGCGUAGUCGAUGGGAAACAGGUUAAUAUUCCUGUACUUGGUGUUACUGCGAAGGGGGGACGGAGAAGGCUAUGUUGGCCGGGCGACGGUUGUCCCGGUUUAAGCGUGUAGGCUGGUUUUCCAGGCAAAUCCGGAAAAUCAAGGCUGAGGCGUGAUGACGAGGCACUACGGUGCUGAAGCAACAAAUGCCCUGCUUCCAGGAAAAGCCUCUAAGCAUCAGGUAACAUCAAAUCGUACCCCAAACCGACACAGGUGGUCAGGUAGAGAAUACCAAGGCGCUUGAGAGAACUCGGGUGAAGGAACUAGGCAAAAUGGUGCCGUAACUUCGGGAGAAGGCACGCUGAUAUGUAGGUGAAGCGACUUGCUCGUGGAGCUGAAAUCAGUCGAAGAUACCAGCUGGCUGCAACUGUUUAUUAAAAACACAGCACUGUGCAAACACGAAAGUGGACGUAUACGGUGUGACGCCUGCCCGGUGCCGGAAGGUUAAUUGAUGGGGUCAGCGCAAGCGAAGCUCUUGAUCGAAGCCCCGGUAAACGGCGGCCGUAACUAUAACGGUCCUAAGGUAGCGAAAUUCCUUGUCGGGUAAGUUCCGACCUGCACGAAUGGCGUAAUGAUGGCCAGGCUGUCUCCACCCGAGACUCAGUGAAAUUGAACUCGCUGUGAAGAUGCAGUGUACCCGCGGCAAGACGGAAAGACCCCGUGAACCUUUACUAUAGCUUGACACUGAACAUUGAGCCUUGAUGUGUAGGAUAGGUGGGAGGCUU